GAUGAACGCUAGCGGCAGGCUUAACACAUGCAAGUCGAGGGGUAUUGGUUUUCGGACCAAGAGACCGGCGCACGGGUGCGUAACGCGUAUGCAAUCUACCUUUUGCAGAGGGAUAGCCCCAGAGAAAUUUGGAUUAAUACCUCAUAGUAUAGUACUUUGGCAUCAAGGAACUAUUAAAGUCACAACGGCAAAAGAUGAGCAUGCGUCCCAUUAGCUAGUUGGUAAGGUAACGGCUUACCAAGGCUACGAUGGGUAGGGGUCCUGAGAGGGAGAUCCCCCACACUGGUACUGAGACACGGACCAGACUCCUACGGGAGGCAGCAGUGAGGAAUAUUGGACAAUGGGCGCAAGCCUGAUCCAGCCAUGCCGCGUGCAGGAUGACGUCCUAUGGAUUGUAAACUGCUUUUA
This 408-nucleotide ribosomal RNA is filed under the name uncultured bacterium. Its description in RNAcentral is "bacterial SSU rRNA". It matches the Rfam family "Bacterial small subunit ribosomal RNA", at positions 28 to 438 of the family's 1533-position model. The record is from RNAcentral.